RNAcentral lists this non-coding RNA (26 nucleotides) under Cricetulus griseus (Chinese hamster). The record is from RNAcentral. Lineage: Eukaryota; Metazoa; Chordata; Mammalia; Rodentia; Cricetidae.
AGAUUAGAAUUCUAUGCAUUUGGGGU